UACGGGGGGGGCAAGCGUUGCUCGGAAUCACUGGGCGUAAAGCGCACGUAGGCGGAUAUUUAAGUCGGUGGUGAAAUCCUGGAGCUCAACUCCAGAACUGCCUCCGAUACUGAAUGUCUUCGAGUCCGGGAGAGGUGAGUGGAACUGCGAGUGUAGAGGUGAAAUUCGUAGAUAUUCGCAAGAACACCAGUGGCGAAGGCGGCUCACUGGCCCGGUACUGACGCUGAGGUGCGAAAGCGUGGGGAGCAAACAGG
This 254-nucleotide ribosomal RNA is filed under the name uncultured bacterium. RNAcentral describes it as "partial 16S ribosomal RNA". It matches the Rfam family "Bacterial small subunit ribosomal RNA", at positions 524 to 776 of the family's 1533-position model. The record is from RNAcentral.